UUGUGGAGGAGGACGCCGAAGGUGGGGCUAAUGACUGGGGUGAAGUCGUAACAAGGUAGCCGUACCGGAAGGUGCGGCUGGAUCACCUCCUAACAGGGAGACAACAAAAUGUUUAAUAUUAUUAUUUUGUCACCUUAGGUCGAUCGGUAUCUCACGUUCUUAAUUAAUUAAGAAUUUCAAUUUCUAAGUUUUUCUAGGUCACACCCAUUAUUUUUCCUGGGCCAUUAGCUCAGGUGGUUAGAGCGCACCCCUGAUAAGGGUGAGGUCCCUGGUUCAAGUCCAGGAUGGCCCAUAUCUCUAUGUUGGGGGUAUAGCUCAGUUGGUAGAGCGCCUGCUUUGCAAGCAGGAUGUCAGCGGUUCGAGUCCGCUUACCUCCACUGAUUACCACCUCUUCCAUAAUUUGUAGAAGGAAAAUGUUUUGAGUUGUGAUCAAAUUCUGAACGAAUCUAGCUUCCUAAUGAAAGUAUUAAGAUGCUGGACUCAUUGAAUUAAUUUCAUUGUUUUCAGAGAACCUUGACAACUGCAUAGAUUAUUUUUUAAAGACAAUAAGCAUCUUUAAUGAUGCAGAUUUAUUAUUUGUGCGAAUGCAUUAAUAACAAUUCUAUUAAGCUGAUGCUUCAAUUUUGAAGUUAUUGGUCAAGCUACAA
RNAcentral lists this unclassified non-coding RNA (647 nucleotides) under uncultured Prochlorococcus sp. Its description in RNAcentral is "partial 16S-23S ribosomal RNA intergenic spacer; may also contain 16S ribosomal RNA and 23S ribosomal RNA". The stretch from base 305 to 377 matches the Rfam family "tRNA". Lineage: Bacteria; Bacillati; Cyanobacteriota; Cyanophyceae; Synechococcales; Prochlorococcaceae. The record is from RNAcentral.